This 453-nucleotide ribosomal RNA is filed under the name uncultured bacterium. Its description in RNAcentral is "bacterial SSU rRNA". It matches the Rfam family "Bacterial small subunit ribosomal RNA", at positions 28 to 507 of the family's 1533-position model. The record is from RNAcentral.
GAUAAACGCUAGCGGUGUGCCUUAUGCAUGCAAGUCGAACGGUCUCGAUUUAUCGAGAUAGUGGCGAACGGGUGAAUAAUACGUAAGUAACCUACCCCUAAGUUGGGAAUAACCUCGGGAAACUGGGGCUAAUACCGAAUGUGGUGGCCGAGCGAUGUUUGGUUACUAAAGCCGAAAGGUGCUUGGGGAGGGGCUUGCGUCCGAUUAGCUAGUUGGUAGGUAAGGGCUUACCAAGGCAAUGAUCGGUAGCUGGUUUAAGAGGACGAUCAGCCACAUUGGGACUGAGACACGGCCCAGACUCCUACGGGAGGCAGCAGCAAGGAAUAUUGUGCAAUGGGCGAAAGCCUGACACAGCGACGCCGCGUGAGGGAAGAAGGCCUUCGGGUUGUAAACCUCUUUUCUCAGGGGAGAAUGAUGAUGGUACCUGAGGAAUAAGUCUUGGCUAACUACGUG